AUUGCCCUAGUAACGGCGAGUGAAGCGGCAACAGCUCAAAUUUGAAAUCUGGCGUAAGCCCGAGUUGUAAUUUGUAGAGGAUGCUUCUGGGUAGCGGCCGGUCUAAGUUCCUUGGAACAGGACGUCAUAGAGGGUGAGAAUCCCGUAUGUGACUGGCUUGCACCCUCCACGUAGCUCCUUCGACGAGUCGAGUUGUUUGGGAAUGCAGCUCUAAAUGGGAGGUAAAUUUCUUCUAAAGCUAAAUACCGGCCAGAGACCGAUAGCGCACAAGUAGAGUGAUCGAAAGAUGAAAAGCACUUUGGAAAGAGAGUUAAAAAGCACGUGAAAUUGUUGAAAGGGAAGCGCCCGCAACCAGACUUUGCGGCGGUGUUCGGCUAGUCUUCUGACCGGUUUACUCGCCGCCGUGAGGCCAUCAUCGUCUGGGACCGCUGGAUAAGACCUGAGGAAUGAUGCUCCCUUCGGGGUGUGUUAUAGCCUCUGGUGAUGCAGCGCGUCUCGGGCGAGGUCCGCGCUUCGGCAAGGAUGAUGGCGUAAUGGUUGUCGGCGGCCCGUCUUGAAACACGGACCAAGGAGUCUAACAUCUAUGCGAGUGUUCGGGUGUCAAGCCCCUACGCGUAAUGAAAGUGAACGGAGGUGGGAACUUUUAGUGCACCAUCGACCGAUCCUGAUGUCCUCGGAUGGAUUUGAGUAAGAGCAUAGCUGUUGGGACCCGAAAGAUGGUGAACUAUGCCUGAAUAGGGUGAAGCCAGAGGAAACUCUGGUGGAGGCUCGCAGCGGUUCUGACGUGCAAAUCCAUCCUCAAAUUUGGGGUAUAGGGGCGAAAAGACUAAUCGAACCAUCUAGUAGCUGGGUUCCUGCCGAAGUUUCCCU
This 870-nucleotide ribosomal RNA is filed under the name Pseudocercospora longispora. RNAcentral describes it as "LSU rRNA". It matches the Rfam family "Eukaryotic large subunit ribosomal RNA", at positions 74 to 973 of the family's 3401-position model. Lineage: Eukaryota; Fungi; Ascomycota; Dothideomycetes; Mycosphaerellales; Mycosphaerellaceae. The record is from RNAcentral.